This 483-nucleotide long non-coding RNA is filed under the name Vigna radiata. RNAcentral describes it as "long non-coding RNA (VRAD_LNC006244)". Lineage: Eukaryota; Viridiplantae; Streptophyta; Magnoliopsida; Fabales; Fabaceae. The record is from RNAcentral.
AAACACCUACACCUACCCUACCUAGCUUCUACUUUUACAAUUAAAUAAAAGAAACUAAAUCCUAUUCACCUAGCUACCAACUCUCCAACUCUCGGUACUUCUCAUCUCAUCACCUAAAUAACUUUUGAUUUCAUAAAAAAAAAAAAAAAACUAAAGAAAGGCAUUAAAUGAAUUAAGCCUCUGCACCAAGUCCCAUCAUCACAAAUUCUCAAAUUAAAAUGAAAAAAAAAGAAACCUAACUAAUCUAAUUGAAACCGGCGGUAUUGAGUGAAGAAAAAAAAAGAUUAAGAUUAUCUUCCAACAUGCACACCAUGGAGUCAACAUCAACGGACCCACACUCAUCAAAUCUACCUCUUCAUUCAUCAUUCUUCAAAUAAGCAAAAGAAAUGCAUUGCUACAAUAAAUGGAUGCCAAUGUCCCAUCACCACGUACUAGCACCUAGUCUAAUUUUACUCAUAAAAACAAAAAGAAAAGCCACUUUCA